GAGGGCAUAGCUCAGUGGCAGAGCUCAUGCCUAGCAUGUGUGAGGUCCUGGGUUCAGUUCCCAGUACAUCCA
RNAcentral lists this transfer RNA (72 nucleotides) under Camelus bactrianus (Bactrian camel). It matches the Rfam family "tRNA". From Rfam's summary of the family: Transfer RNA (tRNA) molecules are approximately 80 nucleotides in length. Their secondary structure includes four short double-helical elements and three loops (D, anti-codon, and T loops). Lineage: Eukaryota; Metazoa; Chordata; Mammalia; Artiodactyla; Camelidae. The record is from Rfam by way of RNAcentral. RNAcentral also lists the same sequence under 2 other names.